GGGUUUGAACGCUCUCAUACUGAAGUAAAACAUUAAACUACACAGACUCUUAUCUGUUUCCAGGUAAACUGCGGCUCAGGACGCUCUGAAUGGAGUCCAGCAAGCUCGUAAUUUUACAUGUGUCCUUUGCACCACGCUUGUGACUCGGGUGGAAAUGGGUGUCAAAGGGAGGGGCGGAGCCAGCUAAUGGUUACACUGAGUUAAACAAAUGAGCAGAGGGGGCGAGUCACAGAGGGGGCGGAGCCAGAGGCACAAACAGACACACCCACACAAGCAAAGUGAUUAUCUCAGUGGAAAAAUGGUCCAGAUGUCUCCUGCAUCCCUGCAGAUUCAUGUUCUCUUUUUUUAAGUAUCACAGCAGGAGCGGCCCGGAAUGACCUAGAUCUGUAAAGGAGCGACGGCGGGACGUGCUGAGACGCUUACAGACAGAAAUACUGCUUAUUUUAGUGUUCCACAUGCAAUUUUAUGUAAAAAGUUUUUAUUAGACUCACUGUAAAAGCGCACCUUUAGCAUUCUGUUUUAACAUACUGUAUUAUGAUUUCAGACGCACUAAUCUUAAUCUCAGAUAAUAUUUAUGAUGUUUAGAAUGUGAAUCCGUGAGAGUGAAGGACGCACAGCUUUCACACUGUUUCACAGCAGACACAAUAUUCACGGGCACAAGCCGUACGGAUCACAUCCAAACACACACAUCUGUCCUUUAUCUGUUGCUAUGCCUCUAUAAUCACUACAGCAGGAACAUCCGGCACUCAAUCACAGCCGUUUGGAGCUCAAGGACGUUUUCUGUAGCAGCAGAAAGAAAGACUCAAGACAAGAUGACCUCAAGACCUCUCUGAGAGUUAAAAGUGUCCUAUUAUGCAAAAAUAACUUUGAUAAGGUGUUUGAAUACAGUUGAGUGGACGCAGUGUGUGAAAACAACCAGCCUAUAAUGAUAAAAACCCACCCACUCAUUUUUUAUAAUCCCAAUAAAUCAUAAACAGUCUCUCCA
Cyprinus carpio (common carp) is the source of this 985-nucleotide long non-coding RNA. NCBI's taxonomy places the organism in Eukaryota, Metazoa, Chordata, Actinopteri, Cypriniformes, Cyprinidae. The record is from Ensembl.